Molecule: long non-coding RNA, 368 nt
Organism: Ictalurus punctatus (channel catfish)
Lineage: Eukaryota; Metazoa; Chordata; Actinopteri; Siluriformes; Ictaluridae
Source: Ensembl
UACUCCACCUUUCUGCUGAAAUACAUGAGUUCAGACAUUGUCUGGAUCCACUGCAGAUGGGCUAAAAAUACCAAAAUAUCAGCACUCCAGCCAGCGCUCCAAGCAGGGAUUCUAGCAAUUCCCAUCAAUGUAUCAGGGUCAUGGGGUAGCCUGGAGCCUAUCUCAGGGAACUUAGGACAUAAUGUGUAGGAUAUCCUGGACAGGGUGCCAACCCAUCGCAGAGCACAAUUGCACACACUCACACACUACGGACAAUUUGGAAAUGCCAGUCAGCCUUCAACACAUGUAUUUGGACUGUAAAGCCAGAGUACCUGGAGGAAAUCCCUGAAGCACGGAAGGAACAAAAAAAAAAGUUCCACACAUGGCAA